This is a long non-coding RNA of Strigops habroptila (Kakapo), 1753 nucleotides long. Lineage: Eukaryota; Metazoa; Chordata; Aves; Psittaciformes; Psittacidae. The record is from Ensembl.
UGGGUUGAGCAUGUAGCCUGCAGAAUUUGCUAGUAAAGGUGGAUGAGACUCCUCUUUAGAGACAUUAGGGUGCAAUGUGCUUCCAUUUCUGCUCAGACACUUGUGGUUUGUGCUAAAAGGGAGCAAUUUAUUCACCUCUGCUUCAACACAGAAUGGGCUGGAAACAGAAUAUUUAUCUUGGUCUUUUGCAAAUGAUAGUUGCUUUGAAUGAACACUGAUGGCGACUGCAGAGGACUUCACCAGAAAUUCUCUCUUCUGCGUGAUGCUUGUGUUUCUCCCCACCACACAUUUCCUGCUUUUUCUCAGUGAGCAACAAAUUGGUUCCCACAGUCUGUUGUCUUUUGCAGCACAGCUGGAAACAAGGAGCGUGGUGGCUUUUCACAUCCAGAACUCGGCCCUUUAUGAAUCUUUGGGAACAUCCCUCCAGCUGCCAGACAUGGAACCAAAGGAGGACAAAUCUUUGAUACCAGGAUGGGGAAAAACUGAGGAUAUUUGUCAUUACCACCUAAUAUUUUAGGAAGCUGUGGCAAUCAGGAGCAUGUUUCUCUUGCCUCAUAAUUAUCUGGAGAGAUUCUGCUGCAGAGGAGAGGCAUUUCUCAACCCUACUGUUAGAGUAUAGCUAUUAGAGGAGAUGAUGCAGGCUCUGAAGCUCAAGGGCCUGUUUUUCUUCUUGUGUUACUUCAUAUGAAUCCAGCCAGCCAGGCCAGUCUGCAUGGACCCAGGCCAAGGACUGCACUUGCUAGAAGGUGCUGCAGAGAUUUCAUAUUCCCAGAGAAAUGAGGCAUCAUCCAAGAAGUCUGUGCCUGGUUCUGGAAGAGAAAUGUACUGCUUUGCUUUACAUCCCAGUUACUUCAGUAACUACACAGACCUUAUAUCAAAACCCAUGUCCUGCCAUGGCAGUGGUCUUUGCAUUAGCUGGACUGGAUCUGGGAAGAGAGCCAAAAAGAGCCAUGAGCUCUUGCUACCAAGUCCUGGCUCGCACAGUCAGGAGACGUGAACACCACAAAUCAUUCUGCUUGGUGGGAUGCUGAGCUGUCCCUCAGUCAUUGAAAUGCACUACCCUGAUCCCAGUUGCUUGGCAAACUUCCCAGGGAAGCAGGUCGCUGGGUAACAAAAGCCCAUUAAUUGGUUUUGCGAGCUGCCCUGCUAAACCAGAUUUGUUUGGGACUUGAAGCAUUGCAAAGCUUUGUGUGCAACGAUGGGAGACUUGGAGGGAGGCAGAGGGCCACGUUAGCAGAUGGAGGCAAGCGUUAACAUUCUACAGCACCAACAAACAUGUGCCUGGGGCAGCUUGCAAGAGACAACAUGGGAUGGACAGCCCCAGCAAGGCUCUGGGGAAGGGACAUGCCACUGCUCUUGGACAAGACCAUAUCAACAUUUCAUAGCAAAAGCUAGUGGUCCUGGGAUUGGGAGAUAAUUUCGUGCCCAUAGAGAAAUCUUUGGGAGCUAUGUGGGCUCUGGAGCUGUCAUCCUGCAUAGCUUCCUUUGGGAAAGUUCCUCUGGUCCACAAGCAGAGCUGGCUCAGCUUGGUUAAUUUUGUCUGGUUUACUGGGGUUUGGGGCUAAUCUGCAAGAUUUGAGAAAAGUCUUCUUCAAGAAGACAAGUUUAAGAGUAGGAAUAUCCUGUCUGCCAUUGGUACAGCAAGAUCUUGGUGGUUUUGGUUUACUGCAAGGUUAAGUGAGCGGUUUUUUCUUCUUUGUUUUUAACCUCCUUUUCAUUUUAAGAACCCCCUACUCAGAAUAAAGCAUCUCAA